GAACGGCGGUCGGUCAGUCUUUUUCUUCUGUUGAUGCUGAGACUGAUGCUUUGACUGUCUCCCAUAUCAUUCGAUAAUAAAGAUCCACUACUUGCCUUGUCGACGCUAAACUCAGUACCUCGUUUCCUUACUAGUACACCUACUAGACCCAUACUCAUUACGAAUGUGUUCACCAGACAUCUGACUUAGCAACCUUCUGCUUAGACCGGAAAGGAUAAGGAAGGAGAUCUAUGGAUAAUGGGAUAUAGAAGUCAGGUGCAACGGUCAGCUCAGCCAGAGAGGAAGCGGUCAUGCAAGGUUAUCGUCAGACAAUGUAGUGCAAGCGACGGGUAGCACUUGCCAUAUGAAGAAGGCGACUACAAUGGGAGACGAAGGCGACGUGGGCUUGCCAUAUAGAUGUAGCGCUUGCAAGGCAAUUCAGACGACGUUAGCAAGAUGUAGCGCUAGCUAGGUUAGGGUAGCGCUUGCCAUAAAGAAGCUAGCCAGAAAGCAGGUCAGGCAGGCGAGCGAUAGUACAAGCAAGCUAACACGCGGGCGAGGUUGAAGGGGUCUUGCGCAACCUUCGGAUUAUCGCAAGCGCAACCUUUGACCCCUUCGUCGACAACUUGCAAGGUAAUUCAGACGACGUUACCAAGAUGUAGCGCUAGCUAGGCUAGGGUAGCGCUUUCCAUAAAGAAGCUAACCAGAGAGCAGGUCAGGCAGGUGAGCGAUAGUACAAACAAGCUAACACGCGGGCGAGGUUGAAGGGGUCUUGCGCAACCUUCGGAUUAUCGCAAGCGCAACCUUUGACCCCUUCGUCGACAACCUCUCAUUUGUUCGACUACUCGCGGGGCCUGCUGCGUUUAGGUAUAAGAAGCCCCACCCGGGAAAAGAGUGUAAAGCAGUACUCAUGUUAAAUUGUGUCCCUUGUAAACGAAAGAGCUCAUGCCAUAAAUUGCUAA
This 941-nucleotide long non-coding RNA is filed under the name Nicotiana benthamiana. RNAcentral's name for it is "long non-coding RNA (NBEN_LNC019341)". Lineage: Eukaryota; Viridiplantae; Streptophyta; Magnoliopsida; Solanales; Solanaceae. The record is from RNAcentral.